GAUGAAGAACGUAGUGAAAUGCGAUACGUAAUGUGAAUUGCAGAAUUCAGUGAAUCAUCGAAUCUUUGAACGCACAUUGCGCCCGCCAGUAUUCUGGCGGGCAUGCCUGUUCGAGCGUCAUUUCAACCCUCAAGCCCCCGGGCUUGGUGUUGGGGAUCGGCGUGCCCUCGCGGCGCGCCGUCCCCUAAAUCUAGUGGCGGUCUCGCUGUAGCUUCCUCUGCGUAGUAGCAACACUCGCACUGGAUCGCAGCGCGGCCACGCCGUUAAACCCCCCACUUCUGAAAGUUUGACCUCGGAUCAGGUAGGAAUACCCGCUGAACUUAAGCAUAUCAAUAAGCGGAGGA
RNAcentral lists this unclassified non-coding RNA (344 nucleotides) under soil metagenome. RNAcentral's name for it is "partial contains 5.8S ribosomal RNA, internal transcribed spacer 2, and large subunit ribosomal RNA". The stretch from base 1 to 120 matches the Rfam family "5.8S ribosomal RNA", at positions 35 to 154 of the family's 154-position model. The record is from RNAcentral.